RNAcentral lists this ribosomal RNA (254 nucleotides) under uncultured bacterium. Its description in RNAcentral is "partial 16S ribosomal RNA". It matches the Rfam family "Bacterial small subunit ribosomal RNA", at positions 524 to 776 of the family's 1533-position model. The record is from RNAcentral.
UACGUAGGGUGCGAGCGUUGUCCGGACUUAUUGGGCGUAAAGCGCUCGUAGGCGGUCUGUCGCGUCGGUCGUGAAAACUUGGGGCUUAACCCUGAGCUUGCGGUCGAUACGGGCAUGACUGGAGUUCGGCAGGGGAGACUGGAAUUCCUGGUGUAGCGGUGAAAUGCGCAGAUAUCAGGAGGAACACCGGUGGCGAAGGCGGGUCUCUGGGCCGAUACUGACGCUGAGGAGCGAAAGCGUGGGGAGCGAACAGG